CGUGGCUAUAUUAUUUAAAUAAACACAUUAAAAUCUAAUGACAGAGUCAUGAUCAAUACGCCAACAAGUACGCACCUUUAGUAGAAAUAUAAGCCUAUUGUGCAGAUGUCAAACACUGAUACACUUUAGUCACACCAUAGGCGAUACAAAUUAAAGUAUUUGAAACACAAUUGCAGGGAUUAGUAUAUAACUUACAUCAAGUGUAUGCAACUUUUAUUUUUAUUAUACACAAUAUUAAUAAUUUAUUUUAUACAUUUACUCUUACAUAAAACCAAACAAUUAAUAUUUGAAGGUUACCGCAGUUCUUACUUGUUCGAUAUAAUAAAUACAUGUAUCCAUGAUUGCAUGUCUGUGUACACAUUAAUACGCUCAGAUUAAUAUAACAAAUAUAUUUGACGACAUCCUAUACCACUUUGAAGUAUUUAAAGUGUUUGGACAGGACAUUUUCUGUAAAUACAUAGUACCAGCCCUUAGUAUACACAAUAUUUGCGUUGUUAAUAUUGUUUGAAACUAAUCAUUAACUUUGUAGUUUAGUUUAUAUGAAUUUCUUUUAAAAAUUAACAUUUGAUAUACUUAAUAAAGAAAUAAAGAUAAUAUGGACCAACAAAGGAGUUAUUUAGGUUUUUGCACCGUCGUAAAACUUUUUUUUAGCAAAACCUUACGAAACGAGUCAUAGUAUAUUUAUAAACAGUCUAAUUACUACUAAUUAAAAGCCACAACUACAAAUAUAAUGGAAGUUUUUGGACAUGAAAAUGAAUUUCAUUUGUAUUGCUUAACUGCUAGACAACUUAUAAUUCAAGCAAACUGGUGUUUU
RNAcentral lists this long non-coding RNA (814 nucleotides) under Mytilus galloprovincialis (Mediterranean mussel). Lineage: Eukaryota; Metazoa; Mollusca; Bivalvia; Mytilida; Mytilidae. The record is from RNAcentral.